AGUGAACGCUGGCGGUAGGCCUAACACAUGCAAGUCGAACGGCAGCACAGUAAGAGCUUGCUCUUACGGGUGGCGAGUGGCGGACGGGUGAGGAAUACAUCGGAAUCUACUUUUUCGUGGGGGAUAACGUAGGGAAACUUACGCUAAUACCGCAUACGACCUACGGGUGAAAGCAGGGGAUCUUCGGACCUUGCGCGAUUGAAUGAGCCGAUGUCGGAUUAGCUAGUUGGCGGGGUAAAGGCCCACCAAGGCGACGAUCCGUAGCUGGUCUGAGAGGAUGAUCAGCCACACUGGAACUGAGACACGGUCCAGACUCCGACGGGAGGCAGCAGUGGGGAAUAUUGGACGAUGGGCGCAAGCCUGAUCCAGCCAUACCGCGUGGGUGAAGAAGGCCUUCGGGUUGUAAAGCCCUUUUGUUGGGAAAGAAAAGCAGCAGGUUAAUACCCCGCUGUUCUGACGGUACCCAAAGAAUAAGCACCGGCUAACUUCGU
This 491-nucleotide ribosomal RNA is filed under the name uncultured bacterium. RNAcentral's name for it is "partial 16S ribosomal RNA". It matches the Rfam family "Bacterial small subunit ribosomal RNA", at positions 29 to 506 of the family's 1533-position model. The record is from RNAcentral.